RNAcentral lists this ribosomal RNA (253 nucleotides) under uncultured bacterium. Its description in RNAcentral is "partial 16S ribosomal RNA". It matches the Rfam family "Bacterial small subunit ribosomal RNA", at positions 524 to 776 of the family's 1533-position model. The record is from RNAcentral.
UACGUAGGGUGCGAGCGUUAAUCGGAAUUACUGGGCGUAAAGCGUGCGUAGGCGGUUCCUCAAGGCCGUUGUGAAAGCCCCGGGCUCAACCUGGGAAUGGCAGUGGAAACUAGGGGACUGGAAUCUGGCAGAGGGGGGUGGAAUGCCGCGUGUAGCAGUGAAAUGCGUAGAGAUGCGGCGGAACACCGAUGGCGAAGGCAGCCCCCUGGGCUGAGAUUGACGCUCAGGCACGAAAGCGUGGGGAGCAAACAGG